UACGGGGGGAGCAAGCGUUGUUCGGAUUUACUGGGCGUAAAGGGCGCGUAGGCGGCCAGUGCAAGUCAGUUGUGAAAUCUCCGAGCUUAACUCGGAAAGGUCAACUGAUACUGCUCGGCUAGAGUGCGGAAGGGGCAACUGGAAUUCUUGGUGUAGCGGUGAAAUGCGUAGAUAUACGGAGGAACACCAGCGGCGAAGGCGGGUAGCUGGGCCAACACUGACGCUGAUGCGCGAAAGCUAGGGGAGCAAACGGG
RNAcentral lists this ribosomal RNA (254 nucleotides) under uncultured bacterium. RNAcentral describes it as "partial 16S ribosomal RNA". It matches the Rfam family "Bacterial small subunit ribosomal RNA", at positions 524 to 776 of the family's 1533-position model. The record is from RNAcentral.